CUGUGUCCACUCCCUGUGUCCUCUCUGGCCCACACUUCUACAGAUUCCUGUUCUCCUUGUGAUCCCAGGAGGAAGCAUAAGGUGUUUUUCUUGAAACAGACAGCUCAUUGAAGGGGAGAGCUGUCCUCAUUGGGCCUCUGGGGGUUUGGUUGCUGUCCCUCCAGCUGUACCUGAAAUGCAGGGUGCAGGGGGUGCGUGGGCAGAGGAGGAGCCAGACCUUUCUUCCUCCACCCCACAGGAGCAAGACUGCUGUUUGCCAACACUGUCCCCUUUGUCUCUUCACUAAGACCAAGGGCAUUCUGUAAGGAUCGCUGUGCUUAAUUAUUAACACAACUUAGCCUUUGCAUCCUUCCAACAACCUCAUGCUGAAGACACAGUUACUACUCAAAUCUAACAAAUGAUGAAACAGGCUGGUAGAGGCUGGCAUGAUGAUGGAGGCAGGAUGAGGCUCUGUAUCUGUAUGACCCAAAACCUGUGUUAUUCUGAGUAUUAGAAAAC
Molecule: long non-coding RNA, 498 nt
Organism: Mustela erminea (ermine)
Lineage: Eukaryota; Metazoa; Chordata; Mammalia; Carnivora; Mustelidae
Exons: 2
Source: RefSeq, a predicted model, not a curated record